Molecule: ribosomal RNA, 177 nt
Filed under: uncultured bacterium
Lineage: Bacteria
Description: partial 16S ribosomal RNA
Source: RNAcentral
CUGCUGCCUUCCGUAGGAGUUUGGUCCGUGUCUCAGUACCAAUGUGGGGGGUUAACCUCUCAGUCCCCCUAUGUAUCGUCGCCUUGGUAAGCCGUUACCUUACCAACCAGCUAAUACAACGCAUGCCCAUCUGUAACCGCCGAAACUUUCAACCACAAGAGAUGCCUCUCACGNGUU